Molecule: ribosomal RNA, 253 nt
Filed under: uncultured bacterium
Lineage: Bacteria
Description: partial 16S ribosomal RNA
Rfam family: Bacterial small subunit ribosomal RNA
Source: RNAcentral
UACGAAGGGGGCGAGCGUUAUUCGGAAUCACUGGGCGUAAAGCGUGCGUAGGCCGUCUAGCAAGUUGGACGUGAAAGCCCAGGGCUCAACCCUGGAACUGCUUUCAAAACUGCAAGACUAGAGUCCGGGAGAGGAUAGCGGAAUUUCCAGUGUAGUAGUGAAAUACGUAGAUAUUGGAAGGAACACCAGUGGCGCAAGCGGCUAUCUGGACCGGUACUGACGCUGAGGCACGAAAGCGUGGGGAUCAAACAGG